This 675-nucleotide ribosomal RNA is filed under the name Triticum aestivum (bread wheat). RNAcentral describes it as "partial small subunit ribosomal RNA". The record is from RNAcentral. Lineage: Eukaryota; Viridiplantae; Streptophyta; Magnoliopsida; Poales; Poaceae.
AUGAACACUUAUGUGCAGCAUCAUAGUAGUCCUGCCGGGGUGCAGAUGGCUCCUAGCUUCAACGCCAGGCCGCCACAUAACUCUGCUGCCACCGGAGGCCCUGCUGCUGCACGACCUCGCAAGCCGAAGGGAAGCAAGGGUGGCCGUCAGAAGACGAACCAAGGAGCAGCUCCGCCAGUUUCCACUCCCCCACCUGCGGUCCAUAUGAUGCCGCCACCAGUGCAGGUUCCCGCUAUGGCCCCUUCGUCUAUGAUGGUAGCGGGUCACGGUCAGUACGCACAUAUGCAGCUGGGAUCAAUGCAACAGCAGCCUACACCUACGUUUCAGCCUUCAGGGGCAACCGAGGGGGUAGCAAUUCCUAAGAAGGUGUGGUGCUCUAAGUGCCAGUCUGCAAUGCACACAAAUGAUGACUGCGGGACACAACAGUUUUGUUUCAUUUGCAACAAGACUAAUCACCCGAUGACUUUGCGGCGCUGCCCUGCGCUCAAGAUGCCGAAGCCGGUGGCGAUGCUUUGUGGUUACGGAACUGAAAGUAUGGCCUUUUUUCAAAUGCCCGACAAUGUCUGCAGGGAGGAUCUUGCACCACAGGAUUCACUGACGGCGUUGGUAUCUAUUUCUGGUGGCUCUAUAACUCCCAGUAUCGUGGAGGCAGAGGUUGCUAAGAUUGCUCAGUAA